Molecule: ribosomal RNA, 571 nt
Filed under: uncultured bacterium
Lineage: Bacteria
Description: partial 16S ribosomal RNA
Rfam family: Bacterial small subunit ribosomal RNA
Source: RNAcentral
UGGGGGAAUUUUGGACAAUGGGCGAAAGCCUGAUCCAGCAAUGCCGCGUGUGUGAAGAAGGCCUUCGGGUUGUAAAGCACUUUUGUCCGGAAAGAAAUCCUUGGCUCUAAUACAGUCGGGGGAUGACGGUACCGGAAGAAUAAGCACCGGCUAACUACGUGCCAGCAGCCGCGGUAAUACGUAGGGUGCAAGCGUUAAUCGGAAUUACUGGGCGUAAAGCGUGCGCAGGCGGUUUGCUAAGACCGAUGUGAAAUCCCCGGGCUCAACCUGGGAACUGCAUUGGUGACUGGCAGGCUAGAGUAUGGCAGAGGGGGGUAGAAUUCCACGUGUAGCAGUGAAAUGCGUAGAGAUGUGGAGGAAUACCGAUGGCGAAGGCAGCCCCCUGGGGCCAAAUACUGACGCUCAUGCACGAAAGCGUGGGGAGCAAACAGGAUUAGAUACCCUGGUAGUCCACGCCCUAAACGAUGUCAACUAGUUGUGGGGAUUCAUUUCCUUAGUAACGUAGCUAACGCGUGAAGUUGACCGCCUGGGGAGUACGUCGCAAGAUUAAAACUCAAAUGAAUUGACGGGG